AUGCUCGCCGCCUGCGCCUGGAGGCUGUCGCAGCGAGCCGUCACGUUCCUCCCCCGCGUGCGACCCCAAAUCCUAAACCCUUUCCCCAUGGCCGCCGGCGCCGGCGCCACCUCGCCCAAGCGCCUGAGGGUCUACUCGUCGGCCGCCGGCGACGCCGACUCCUCCAACGGCGCGGGGAACGGCAGGCGCGUGGGGACCCACAACGGCAGCUUCCACUGCGACGAGGCGCUCGGCUGCUUCCUCAUCCGCCUCACCUCCCAGUUCGCAGGCGCCGACGUCGUCCGCACCCGCGACUCCCAGAUCCUUGAUUCACUGGAGGCCGUGCUUGACGUUGGUGGUGUCUAUGAUCCCAGCCGGCAUCGCUAUGAUCAUCACCAGAAGGGCUUCAACGAGGUCUUUGGACAUGGCUUUAACACGAAACUUAGCAGUGCUGGGCUUGUUUACAAGCAUUUUGGUAAGGAGAUAAUUGCAAAGGAGCUUCAGCUUAAUGAGGAGCAUGAAGAUGUUCACCGUGUGUAUCUUGCCAUAUACAAAAGCUUUGUUGAGGCACUUGAUGCAAUCGAUAAUGGAAUCAAUCAAUAUGACACAGAGCAAACCCCCAAGUAUGUGAACAAUACACACUUGUCUUCACGUGUUGGGCGCCUUAAUCCAGACUGGACUGAUCCAGAUCAAUCACCUGAGAAGGAAAAUGCCGCAUUUCAAAAGGCAAUGGCACUUGCCGGAAGUGAGUUUAUGGAGAGUGUCCGCUUUCAUGUUAAAUCGUGGCUACCUGCAAGAUCUAUUGUCAUGGAGUGUUUGCUGUCAAGAGGAAAUGUUGAUCCAAGUGGAGAAAUCAUGGUUUUAGAUAGAUUCUGCCCGUGGAAACUUCAUCUGUUUGAGCUAGAGCAGGAGCUGAAGACUGAUCCUCUGACCAAGUAUGUGUUGUAUGAGGAUGAGAGGAGCAAAGGCUGGCGAGUGCAGGCCGUCUCUGUUGCACCUGACAGAUUCGAGAGCCGAAAGGCUCUCCCAGAGAAGUGGAGGGGCAUGAGAGAUGAUGAACUGUCCAAGGAAACCGGCAUCCCUGGCUGUGUGUUCAUCCAUAUGAGUGGCUUCAUUGGUGGGAACAAGACCUACGAGGGAGCGCUGGAAAUGGCAAGAGCUGCCCUCAAAUGCUAA
This 1155-nucleotide ribosomal RNA is filed under the name Triticum aestivum (bread wheat). RNAcentral describes it as "partial small subunit ribosomal RNA". The record is from RNAcentral. Lineage: Eukaryota; Viridiplantae; Streptophyta; Magnoliopsida; Poales; Poaceae.